UUAAUUUUAUAAAUUUACUGUUUGCAAAAGUAUAAAUUAUUCUAAAUAAUAAGGAUGUUCUGGUAACUAACAGAAAACCUGGGCGUUUUUGGCACAACUUUUUUUAUCUUUUGGUCCUCGAUGCUGUUCGACUUUGUGCUUGUUUCGGCUUUCAAACUUUUGUAUCUGGGCAUCACUAGUAGAUCUUGUGUGGAUAAAAUGCACUUCUGGCGUAUUAAAAUUUUCAACUUGUUGCCUUUUGUUGGCUGUUGUUCGUGUGUUUCUUUGUCAAUUGUAUUCUCCAAUUUAUUUAUAUUGUAGUCCUGUAGUGUUGAGUUGUUAUCUUAAUGUUAUAUUUCACAUGGCUAUAAAAGGGGAGGUUUGGCAUGCCACAAAACCAGGUUCAACCCGCC
RNAcentral lists this long non-coding RNA (392 nucleotides) under Mytilus galloprovincialis (Mediterranean mussel). The record is from RNAcentral. Lineage: Eukaryota; Metazoa; Mollusca; Bivalvia; Mytilida; Mytilidae.